RNAcentral lists this ribosomal RNA (376 nucleotides) under uncultured organism. RNAcentral's name for it is "partial 16S ribosomal RNA". It matches the Rfam family "Bacterial small subunit ribosomal RNA", at positions 527 to 896 of the family's 1533-position model. The record is from RNAcentral.
GUAGGUGGCAAGCGUUGUCCGGGAAUUAUUGGGGCGUAAAGCGCGCGCAGGCGGUUCUUUAAGUCUGAUGUGAAAGCCCACGGGCUCAACCGUGGAGGGUCAUUGGAAACUGGAGAACUUGAGUACAGAAGAGGAAAGCGGAAUUCCCACGUGUAGCGGUGAAAUGCGUAGAGAUGUGGAGGAACACCAGUGGCGAAGGCGGCUUUCUGGUCUGUAACUGACGCUGAGGCGCGAAAGCGUGGGGAGCAAACAGGAUUAGAUACCCUGGUAGUCCACGCCGUAAACGAUGAGUGCUAAGUGUUAGGGGGUUUCCGCCUCUUAGUGCUGCAGCUAACGCAUUAAGCACUCCGCCUGGGGAGUACGGCCGCAAAGGCUG